Molecule: unclassified non-coding RNA, 264 nt
Filed under: Hevea brasiliensis (rubber tree)
Lineage: Eukaryota; Viridiplantae; Streptophyta; Magnoliopsida; Malpighiales; Euphorbiaceae
Source: RNAcentral
AAAAAAAGUCAGUAACUAGUACAGAGAGAAUUUGUAAAGAUAAUUAACUCUUUAUAGAUGAAGGGUAAAUUAUUAAUUUCUCUAUCCUUUCAGUGUUUAUUGUAUUUGGCUGUAGAAAAUGACUUGUAGAUUUUGUAUGUUCUCUUGUAAGGUCCUGGGUUUUUCUUCUUGGUUUUGAAAUUUCUCAGCAGCUCUCUUUGGGAGAAGGGUCUUGAUAAUCACUUGCAACCAAAAAAGACUACCAUUCUGUCUUAGGCUUACAUU